This 73-nucleotide transfer RNA is filed under the name Capra hircus (goat). It matches the Rfam family "tRNA". From Rfam's summary of the family: Transfer RNA (tRNA) molecules are approximately 80 nucleotides in length. RNAcentral also lists the same sequence under 1 other name. The record is from Rfam by way of RNAcentral. Lineage: Eukaryota; Metazoa; Chordata; Mammalia; Artiodactyla; Bovidae.
UUCCUGGUGUCUCAGUGGUAAAGAAUCUGCUUGCCAAUGCAGGGCGACACAGGUUCAAUCCCUGGCCUGGGAA